This 446-nucleotide ribosomal RNA is filed under the name uncultured bacterium. RNAcentral's name for it is "bacterial SSU rRNA". It matches the Rfam family "Bacterial small subunit ribosomal RNA", at positions 29 to 507 of the family's 1533-position model. The record is from RNAcentral.
AACGAACGCUGGCGGCAGGCUUAACACAUGCAAGUCGAAGGAGAAGCAGGACUUCGGUUCUGUGGACACUGGCGAACGGGUGAGUAACGCGUGGGAACCUCCCUUCGGGGUGGGGGACAACCGCUGGAAACGGCGGCUAAUACCGCAUACGCCCUCCGGGGGAAAACUUUAGUGCCCUGGGAUGGUCCCGCGUCGGAUUAGCUUGUUGGUAGGGUAACGGCCUACCAAGGCGACGAUCCGUAGCUGGUCUGAGAGGAUGAUCAGCCACACUGGAACUGAGACACGGUCCAGACUCCUACGGGAGGCAGCAGUGGGGAAUAUUGGACAAUGGGGGCAACCCUGAUCCAGCCAUGCCGCGUGGGUGAAGAAGGCCUUAGGGUUGUAAAACCCUUUCAGCGGGGAAGAUGAUGACGGUACCCGCAGAAGAAGCCCCGGCUAACUCCGUG